This is a long non-coding RNA of Nilaparvata lugens (brown planthopper), 147 nucleotides long. RefSeq lists it as uncharacterized. The transcript has 3 exons. The record is from RefSeq and is a predicted model, not a curated record. NCBI's taxonomy places the organism in Eukaryota, Metazoa, Arthropoda, Insecta, Hemiptera, Delphacidae.
GACGGUGGUCCUCUUCAUUAAAAUUAUAUUGUAUCUGGGUCAAUGACCAAUAAGCAAAAUAUCUACAUCAUAUUGACCAGCCGCUCUAUACUGAGCCACUAGCUACCAGAAUUCGGACUCAGAAACAAUAAUUAUAAUAAAUUUAAU